UACGUAUGGUGCAAGCGUUAUCCGGAAUGACUGGGUGUAAAGGGAGCGCAGACGGUUGUACAAGUCUGAUGUGAAAGCCCACGGCUCAACUGUGGGAGUGCAUUGGAAACUGUAGAACUAGAGUAUCGGAGAGGCAAGUGGAAUUCCUAGUGUAGCGGUGAAAUGCGUAGAUAUUAGGAGGAACACCAGUGGCGAAGGCGGCUUGCUGGACGAAAACUGACGUUGAGGCUCGAAAGCGUGGGGAGCAAACAGG
This 253-nucleotide ribosomal RNA is filed under the name uncultured bacterium. RNAcentral describes it as "partial 16S ribosomal RNA". It matches the Rfam family "Bacterial small subunit ribosomal RNA", at positions 524 to 776 of the family's 1533-position model. The record is from RNAcentral.